AUACUUAUUCGGUGCCGGGAACUCCGUAAUCAGAAAAGCGGAGACUCCAGGAGGAGGUUCUUCCAUUGCACUUCGGAGGGGCUGAGACCUGCCACUUUCCCGAACUGGGAAAGAUGGGGCAUGCAAUUUUUGGUAGUGGGGGUUGCGCGAACGCAGACCCCCA
Molecule: small nuclear RNA, 163 nt
Filed under: Tropilaelaps mercedesae
Lineage: Eukaryota; Metazoa; Arthropoda; Arachnida; Mesostigmata; Laelapidae
Description: U1 spliceosomal RNA
Rfam family: U1 spliceosomal RNA
About the family: U1 is a small nuclear RNA (snRNA) component of the spliceosome (involved in pre-mRNA splicing). Its 5' end forms complementary base pairs with the 5' splice junction, thus defining the 5' donor site of an intron.
Source: Rfam by way of RNAcentral